AAGUGCUUGGAUUCCGACGAAAACAGCAGUUGGCAGACAGGAAGUCUGCCAAAGACCGAGCUGAGCCAUGGAUGGCGAAUCGAGGUCGGCUGCGUCAGGAACCAAUAUAUUAUCGUGCGGAAUCCGUAGCACUUCUU
Molecule: non-coding RNA, 137 nt
Filed under: human gut metagenome
Source: RNAcentral